CUUCCUGUGUGUCCUCAGGUCACCGCUUGCUCUAGUUCCCAGGCUUUGGCCCCCAGUGGACGAGAAUCGCUGAGCCUGCGGGGCUGGACGCUGAGCGCCUAGGCCAGCACCUAGGCGGGCGCGGAGCUAUGUGGGCCAGGGUUCGCACGGGCCGGGUGGAGGCUUGAGCGGGGACCCCCGAGCGUGAGCCCCUGAGCCGGCGGCCCUGCGGCCAGGGGAACCGGGCGGGAGGUGGCGAAGGUGGCAGCGGAGGCGGAGGCGAAGGGGCGGCGGGAACCGGGCCUGGCCCGUGUGUGUCCUGGGGGCCUGGCCCAGGCCGCCGCUGUACGGUGAGUCCCAGGGAGGCGGAUCUGGGCCCCGGGAAGGACACCCUCCUGGAUUUGCCCCGUAGGCCCGGCCCGGGCCCCUCAGGAGCAGAACAGCCUUGGUGAGGUGGACAAGAGGGGACCUCGCGAGCAGACGCGCGCCAGCGACAGCAGCCCCGCCCCGGCCUCUGGGGAGCCCCAGGAGGGUCUACCAGCCACAGUCUCUGCACGUUUCCAAGAGCAGCAGAAAAUGAACACAUUGCAGUCGAAUCCAGCGGGCAUUUUCUAGCCCCUACCUCCCAGGACCCUUUGUCUGCCUUUGACAUCUGUUACUUCCAAACUGAUACUUUCUCCAUGGAGUCUCUCUUUUCUUGGCUUUUAAAAAGAUUCGUCUGUCUGCAGACUCGUGAAUGACGUCUACCGCGUGUAUAAUCGACACCAGUAUCCAUUUGUUGUUCUUAACAUUUCUGUUGAUUCAGUAAAACGAUGUUUGCAGAAAUGGAAAUCAUUGGUCAGUUUAACCUGGGAUUUAUAAUAACCAAACUGAAUGAGGAUAUCUUCAUAGUGGACCAGCAUGCCACGGACGAGAAGUAUAACUUCGAGAUGCUGCAGCAGCACACCGUGCUCCAGGGGCAGAGGCUCAUAGCACCUCAGACUCUCAACUUAACUGCUGUUAAUGAAGCUGUUCUGAUAGAAAAUCUGGAAAUAUUUAGAAAGAAUGGCUUCGAUUUUGUUAUCGAUGAAAAUGCUCCAGUCACUGAAAGGGCUAAACUGAUUUCCUUGCCAACUAGUAAAAGCUGGACCUUCGGACCCCAGGACGUCGAUGAACUGAUCUUCAUGCUGAGCGACAGCCCUGGGGUCAUGUGCCGGCCUUCCCGAGUCAAGCAGAUGUUUGCCUCCAGAGCCUGCCGGAAGUCGGUGAUGAUUGGGACUGCUCUUAACACAAGCGAGAUGAAGAAACUGAUCACCCACAUGGGGGAGAUGGACCACCCCUGGAACUGUCCCCAUGGAAGGCCAACCAUGAGACACAUCGCCAACCUGGGUGUCAUUUCUCAGAACUGACCGUAGUCACUGUAUGGAAUAAUUGGUUUUAUCGCAGAUUUUUAUGUUUUGAAAGACAGAGUCUUCACUAACCUUUUUUGUUUUAAAAUGAAACCUGCUACUUAAAAAAAAUACACAUCACACCCAUUUAAAAGUGAUCUUGAGAACCUUUUCAAACCAGAUGGAGCAUUGCUUGCAAAUUUUUUUUCUCUAUGUUUGCAUGCGCUCGUGUGUGUGUGUCCAGGCAAGAACACAUUUUAUAAAAAUAAGAACACUUGGGCUGGGCAUGGUGGCUCAUGCCUGUGAUCGCAGCACUUUGGGAGGCCGAGGCCGGCAGAUCACCUGAGAUCAGAAGUUCGAGACCAGCCUGACCAACAUGGAGAAACCCUGCCUCUACUAAAAAUACAAAAUUAGCCAGGUGUGCUGGCGCAUGCCUGUAAUCCCCGCUACCCAGGAGGCUGAGGCAGGAGAAUCGCUUGAACCCGGGAGACGGAGGUUGCAGUGAACCGAGAUUGCGCCACUGCGCUCCAGCCUGGGUGAGAUAGAGCAAGACUGUGUCUC
RNAcentral lists this long non-coding RNA (1907 nucleotides) under Homo sapiens (human). RNAcentral describes it as "long non-coding RNA NONHSAT211624.1". Lineage: Eukaryota; Metazoa; Chordata; Mammalia; Primates; Hominidae. The record is from RNAcentral.